Molecule: unclassified non-coding RNA, 407 nt
Filed under: uncultured Cortinarius
Lineage: Eukaryota; Fungi; Basidiomycota; Agaricomycetes; Agaricales; Cortinariaceae
Description: sequence contains ITS2
Rfam family: 5.8S ribosomal RNA (bases 1-155)
Source: RNAcentral
AACUUUUGGCAACGGAUCUCUUGGCUCUCGCAUCGAUGAAGAACGCAGCGAAUUGCGAUAAGUAAUGUGAAUUGCAGAUUUUCCGUGAAUCAUCGAAUCUUUGAACGCACCUUGCGCUCCUUGGUAUUCCGAGGCGCAUGCCUGUUUGAGUGUCAUUAAUAUAAUCAACCUUCUCUUGUUUUGAGAGCGGUUUGGAUGUGGGGGUUUGCUGGCCUGUCUUAAAAGGUUCAGCUCUCCUGAAAUGCAUUAGCAGAAUGACCUUUGCUCAUUGGUGUGAUAACUAUCUACGCUUUUGAAUACGAGGGGCAGUUCAGCUUUCUAAUGGUCUUUGGACAAUUCAUCAUUAAUGUGACCUCAAAUCAGGUAGGACUACCCGCUGAACUUAAGCAUAUCAAUAAGCGGAGGCU